Molecule: non-coding RNA, 1725 nt
Organism: Heterocephalus glaber (naked mole-rat)
Lineage: Eukaryota; Metazoa; Chordata; Mammalia; Rodentia; Bathyergidae
Source: RefSeq, a predicted model, not a curated record
GGUGCGCACUGGUGGACCGGGCAGAGCUCUGAGCGGUGCUCGAGGUCCCCCAGCCGGUGGGAAAGGCAGCUGGCUCCGCCUCAAGACCUAGGUCUGAGGCCUCCGCGCCCUCCGCUCAGGCUCCGGCUUCCAGGUCGCUGCGUCCACAUCCAGGGAAGCGCUGGCCGCACCCGGGCGCGCCGGGCCGGGAUCCUCCCCUUCGACCUUCCCCGAGGAAGAGCCCUUGGCGCAGGCUGCAGGCUGGGGAGAGGGGAGUUGCACGGAUGUGCGUGUUGUGGCCUAAGUGCCGUGGAGGGGAUGCCUGGAACCUGCGAGCCCAGCUGGAGGCCUUGGCUGACUCCUCACGGAGGAAGGCAGGGGACCUUUCCUCACAAAGGCCGAUGAGUCAGCCUGGACUGUUCCUCAGUCAGGGCUGCUGGCCCUGGAGAGAGGAACAGCAGAUGGCUAGGGUUGGCCCCUGUGGUUCGGGGGCAGGGUCCAAGAGGGCAAGAGGGAGCCCCUGGCCCAAAGGAAGCAACUGGACCGGUGUGGCUCCCUGGCCCUUUCUCCCUUCAGAACUCCUCUCCUGUCCUCACCCUGAACCUCGUCCCGUCCCGUGUCUGUUAGAUCUUGAAUCAGCCUCUGUUAAACACCUCACCCCAGCCCUGCUCACUUCCUUGCACAACUGCAAAGGCUCUCCUUUGCUCUGCUGCUCACUGACAGUAAUCCACAGGAGCACAAGACCUUUAAGAACACAGAUCAGAAACCCACAGAGCAGGCUUUCCCCGACACGUGGCCUUAGCCUUGCAGGUCCCCACGCCCGGAUCGCCCUCUCAGGCUCCUUCACAAGACCGUCGCUCUCCCACUGCCCUUCCACAACCCCACCUGCUCAAUCCCCACUGCCUCGCCACCUUCUGCCUUUCUUCCAGGGGGUUCACCACCUUCUGCAGUUCUCUCAUUGGCCUCAUUUGUGGUGUGUAUCACUUGCCAGAAUGCCAGCUUUAUGAACCCUGUGCCUGGCACAGACCUCGUGGUACUCAAGACAACAGACAUUUAAGGGAUGAAGUGGCCCCUGGGGAACACACCAAAUGCUGGCCCCUUUGGUCACCUCCCAGAGGAGUCUCCCUAGCAGGGCCAGCUGCAGAUACCUGUACCCACCUACUCACCCAGCCGCCUGGCACAAGUAGGCAAGCCUGUGGUUUAUUAGAACAAUAAUCUUAGCAGCCCCCAUUUACUGAAUGCUUAGUAUGGGCUGGGCAUUAGUUUAAUUGGGCUUAACUAGUUUAAUUUGUACGCCUUCCCCAUGAAGUAAGCACUAAUAUCUCUAGUUUACAAAGCAGAACAAAAAUGCACUCACAGACCCACACCAGGACCCAGAGUGUUCAUGGUCAGUCAGCAAACCCAAACACGCGUGGUGACACUGACUUCACUACAGAAGACCACGCAACAGACCUGGGGCUGGGGGAUAAAUAUGACGAUGGGCCUGUGCCGGCUAACGCCCACUGCACAAGGCGGAGCAGAACAGAAAUAGAACAAGACCCCAGGCAGGGUGAGCGUGUGAAAGGCUGGUCAUGUGGCCGGCUUGGUUGAGAGAGUAAGGGCAGUGUGGCCGCAGCCAUGUCUGAGUCCUCACAGCACCCGCAGGGUGCAGAGGGAAGGGCCUGGUGCCAGAGGAGUGAUCCUUAGGGACGGGGAAGCCACAUUAGCACAACGGUGGGGCAGGUGUAAAUGACGAGGGCUUGCGCA